UUAAAUAGGACGUUUAAACUUAAGUUAUUUUUAAAUAUAAUUUUUUUUUUUUUGAGAUUUCUAUAUUAUAGAAGAGAAAGAAUUUCGACGUGUGUGUUUCAUGUCAUUUUUAAAAAGCUCGAGGAUAUAUUAGUCAUUUCGCAUCAAUUCUCAAAAUAUCAUAUACGUGGCUAGAUUUCUGUGUACAAACUCUACGUGUAACUUAUAAAAUGGCUCCAUGUGUAUUUUUAGCAAAUAACAGAGUAUUAGGUUUUCUUCAAUUCAGAUUUUGAGUGAUAUCUUCUUCCUGAUUCUCUUCACGCGCAAAUCUAGCUAGAGGUAUGCUUUCAAUCAAUUUUGUACAUAUCUUUUUUCUACUUUUUCCUUUGUAUUUUGGGUUUCUUCUAGGUUCUCUUCAUCAUUGUUAGUUUCGAUUCUGAAGUUCAGUGAUUGUUGUAGGUUCUUUUCCCAUGUUUUGCUAUGAUUUUUCUCAGAUCCUUUUUUCUUCUUUUAAUUUCUGCUCUAUCUUCUUUUAGGUUUUCUAAUUUUUAACUUUGCAAUCUUAUGGCAAGUGUGUGUUAAAUCGAGUGGUAAAACUGUAUUUUUAAACUCUAAGCAUGCUGACUAUUGGACUUUGUCUUCAACGUCUUUAUCUAGCAUUCCUCACAAAUUCUCUCAGUUAGAUCAAACUCAACGACCUGCCUCUACAGUUUCUUUUUUCAUAUUCUAAUAUUGUCUCAACUUCUCCUCCGUUUUUCGUUAAUUGCAGUCUUCUCUGUUGCACUGCUCAAUUUACGUACAAUUAUACGGUCAGUUCUGUUUUGUCUGGCUUUUUCCUUUAACUAUCCAAACUAUUUUUGGGGGUGAGGUUGGAACAACGAUUGGUUGUUUUGGAAAAGGAUCUGUAUUUAUUUAUGUGCAUAUCUUUUUUAAAUGAGGAAUACAAACAUAUUUUCUAUAUGAAAUUUUGGAAUGUCUUUACUGGUUUGGUACCAUGCCUGGUUGGGGUAAUUAAGAAGCUUUUAGACCCGGUUGACUUUGGCUGACCAAAAUGACUUUUUUCUUCGUUUAUCCAACCUUUUCUGAAUAUCAGUGUUAUCUAGAUUUAAGAUUGUGUUGGUUUCUACUGUGAAGAAUGUCUCCUUAUGAUGUUUUGAAUCUUCCAUGGAAGAUUAGCUUGCUUUCAAUUGGUGAUAUGUUACGCCUCUAUUUUUCGUGCUUCGUUUCGCUUCGCGCUUCUCGUGAUUUAAUCUUAAUUUUCAUAUGUUUCAACUCUUUUAAAGUGCAAUAAGAAUGAAUUUAAGUUUAUGAUUUAGACACUACAUCCAGACUUGCAUUAGAGGUAUUUGAGAAAUUGCCGAUGAGAAAGAAGGGGUAAAGUAUUUGAGAAUGGCGAGGAGAGUUGAGAAAUUUCACUGUUUUGAAAUUGCCACCGCCCGAGCCUAAGAAACCUAAGACCAUUAAUGUCAAGCUUGCUUAAAAUAGGGGAAAUAUAGACAAAUUAAGUUUGGUUCUAUGGGUAUUAAUUUGGACCUCGGAGAGGUUAGAAAUACUGUUUUAUAGUAGUGCUUAUGAUGUUUUUUGGACUGUUUUGUGCUGUGUGUAAGACCUUUUGGUCUAUGAACUGUGAACAUUAUGAAUAAAUUUCCUUGAAUUUACUGGAGUUUUUGCAUCUACAGGAAAAAAAUUAAAGCCACUAACAUGUAAAAGGAACAAUUCUGUAGUAUAUCUCCUAAAGAUUUUAAAUGUUCUUGUUGUAUAAAUCUAAGGAAAUGGAGAUUGAAACUGAUAAGAAAUAGAUUAAUGUUGUUGAAUGGCAUAACAUAUGCAAGAUUCACAGACUAUUGAAAAGAAACAACAGCAGACUCAUUCACAACUUUGCUCAAAUAAUGAUGAAGUUGGUUAAAAGGAGACAAAAAGGAAUAUAAAUAGUGUCUACUUCUUUCUCACUUGCUUCCAUAUUUACAUUCUCAUCUUAAACUAUUGGGCUAGGUUAUAAAUAUUUGUGUUGCAGAUCACUUUGUGUAAAGACAAACGAAUAUUAUGUUCGGAUCCUACAACUUCUUCAAUUAUAGUAUUCAAUUCAACAUGGUUCAUUUUAAUCUCUAUUUUUGUUCCUUUUUAACACUGAAAUAAUUGAGCAGCUUAAUGAAAAAACCUAAAGCCUAGAAAAUGAUAUAUGAUAAGUUAUUAUACCUUUUAAUUUUUUGGCAUGUAUUAAUUGCUCAUAUAUGUUAUUUUUGGUCUUUGUUUCUGCCUCAAUAGUGAAGGAAAAAGAAUCAUUUGUGAUGCUACUUUUUAAAAGCUCAAGGCUUCUCCAUAAGCUGAUAUAAAUUGUGGGUAUCUCUUGCAGUUUGUACGUCAACUGAAAGGCUGUUUUUCUGACGUUUGAGCUUGAUCGACAAGCUGUCACCACUUCAAAUUGAAGCUCUUGGUUUUGCUCUCCGAGAAUCACUAAAAACUUGACACUCAUGAAAACGAAGGUCUCUCCAUUCUGAAUUCCUUAUCUAUUGCAAUUUACGCCAUAUCUCAAGGUAAUUUGUCUUUUCAUAUUUCAUUUGUUGUCUUAGUUAUGUAACUGCUACUGAAGGUGCAGAAAUACCAAGGUGUAACUUAGCAAAAUCUGCAGAUACCAAUAUCUCCAAAAUCUAUUAGUUUACAUUGAUUCUUUAUCGUAUUUGGUGGUAGAUGCUUAAAUUUGUUUUAAAGUUCUUAUGGAACAUCAGAAGACCAUAUGUGUAUUAUUUUGUAUUUCUAUUCACAACUUUGGAGAUUAAAAACACCCCCGUUUCAAAUGUUUACAGAGUAACACCUUUCUUAUACACUUACUUGCAUGUGCUUUCUGUUGACAUGAAGGAAAUAAAAUCUCUCUCCGGUGCAUUUAUCUAAGCUCGCUUUCUUUUCUUUGUUUCUUUUUCUCUGAAGAUUCAAAAGAACAUUAGAAUUUAUGGUAUAUUAUGCUCAUUAGUAAACAAAGAUAGACAAUGUUUGAAAAGGUAUGUAAAUUACAAAUAAAAUCUGCAAAANCUAAUNNNNNNNNNNNNNNNNNNNAUAUAUAUAUAUAUAUAUAUAUAUAUACCAAGCUAAUAAAAAAAUAGUAUUUUCAACUUUUAUAAUAUUGGGCCUGUGCUGGCACAUGCCAUCACAACCUAGCAGACUAAAUAGAAAAGUGUAUUAUGGAACAUAAAUAUGACUUUCUGGACCACUUAUUUUGUUUAUUUUCUAUUUUGGUUGAUAGAAGGGUGGUUAAAACAUUAUUUGAAAAAAAUGUAACACUUUCACUUUGCCUACCAUAACACAAGGUCGGUAGUGGAGUCAACAACUCAAUGGACGGAUGAUUUGUCUUUUAAGUAUAAGAGAAGAUGUUUGAGUGAAAUAAACUUUUGUCUUUUAGGAACACAAAGCAAAAACUGUCAGAUUAUCUUUAAAUUUACUAAGAAAAAUACUUCUUUUUUUGGUAAUAAGGAAAUAUACGUAUUGAGGCACCAAACCAGUUAUUGCAAUAUAACUUUAAUCACUUACCGAAUGCGGGUAAAUUAUUAAUAUAUUUAUAUUUACAUUAAUUGAAACCCAAUUAUAUGUAUCCUGGCUAGCUACCUAAUCUGACACUACUUUAACAAAAAAUGGAUAUCUUCAAUUUGGUUACAAAUAGUCUACUGUUGAUAGUAAGUUAUGUCAAAUGACUAUUUUUAUGAAUAGUGGAUGUCCCGGUUCGCGAAUGUAAGGACCCGUUGGUUGGUCCUCGCGUUCGCGACAUGGUCCUCGCGUUCGCCUAGGGUCUGCUAGUGUAAGCUACUCGUUUGCGAGUGGACCUCGCGGUUGCGAAAGAGGAAAUUGGCCAGCAGGACUUUUGUUCAUCGCGUUCGCGAUAGUAGCCUCGCGUUUGCGAAGAAGAACGCACCUGGGCAGAUAUAAGAUUUAAAAAUCGAGGGUUUAGCCAUUUUUAUCAGAACUUAAGCUUGGGAGCUCGGAUUUGAGAGGGAUUUUGAGGGAUUUUCAGAUAUAUCGAUUGGUGGGUACGAAACAUGUGUUUGUGAUUAUCAGUUAAGAUAUGUUUUUUCUAUUUUCUUUGGUUCCAUCGCCUUUUUUCUCACUUUGCUCCGACUUAAACAUUGUCGGUGAGUUCUAGUGAUUGUGUUGUUCCUUGCUACUUCCUCUCUAUUCUUUCCAUGUUCUUCGUUCUUCUUUGCGGGUUUUCCCUUUGAGUCUGCUUUGCACACAUCUAUCUUCAUUUGUUUUUUGAUUUCAGCAAUCCAAGAUGUAAUAAUCAGGAACAACUUCAGUACUGAAGAUCUCAACUAAGGUAAAAUACUAUUUUUAAGCUCUUGUACUUAAAGGAUCAUAAACCCUAUCCAAUAAACACUUCAUCUGCUUACCUCUAUGUUUUGUGGCAAAAAGUUUUGAUUGGGGUGUUUUUGUUUCUUUCGUGUUUAGUAAAUGGUUUUGAAUUUCUCAUAUUAAUUAAGAAUAAUUGUUUAAUGCUGAAGAAAGACCAGUAAUUGUAAUAUUAUUUAAAUGUCAAGUGAAGAAGAGGUAACAUGCCAACAAGAAAUUGGUACUAUGAUUUAUACUUUUCGAUAUUCUAAGAAAUUUGAGAUUUAUGGAUGUGCAAGUGGAAAAGAAACGUUGCAGCUUCAAAAAUAAAAAUAAAGAUAAAAAUAAAAAUUAAAACUGAAAUAGUGAUGCUAUUUUUUUUUUGGCAAAAUACAUAGUUUGCCCUCGGAACUUAGGACCAAAUCCCUGUGACACACCUUCUGAGCACGGACAACUUUUUACACACCCAACCUUUUCAAAGUGUGUCUAAUACACACCUUUUUUGUCAACAUGGCUAGUGCGUGUUUUACCAAUAAAAUAAGGCGCGUGAACAGUAAAAAAAAUUAUUUUCUUUCUUUAUUUUUUUUUUCAUUUUCCUAAACUAAUUCACUAGCUAUCCUCCGCCAAAUCCAACACUCACCUUCCAUCGUCGUUUCUCCACAAUUUCUCCACCAUCCUAACCAACACCCACCUGCCAAGAACCACCAUACCUUCACCAUUGAAGCCCGUCUCUUUUCUCUCUUUUUUUUUCUUCUCAAAACCCAGUUGUUGGUAGCAGCCAUGGAAGCCCUUACCUUCUGCAUAGAAAAUAGAGCAGUUUGAGUUAAACCCAGAAGCUAAGAUCUUCAAGCCAUGCCAUUUCUGGAUUCCAUCUUUGAGUUUAAACAAAUAUUAUGCAGUUUGAUGUUCUUGAGUUAUAAUAAAGACUUGUAAUUUCUUCAUUUAAAAGUGUUUUGGUGGAUCUAAUUAUGUCAGGUUUUAUAUUAUGUGGGUUUUUUCUUUUAUUUUGUGAGUUUGAGUUGAAUUCUCAUUCUAUGUAAAAAAAAAAAAUUACUCCUAAUUAAAGUUUUUAGAAGUGUAGAGACAUACUUCAAAGAUGUGAUUUUUUUUUAUUUCUAAGUGUUUUUCUCUUUAAAAUAGACUGUAUUUGUUGAAUUCUUGUUAUUAGCUAUUGCUCAUGUUUUUAAAGUAAACAAAGGGGAGGGAUUGGAGCCUUACAGGAGUAAGUCGAUGGGAAGGGGGCUCGGAGAAGAGGGUAGACAGUGGAGGAGGAGGAAGCUGAUGACGGAGGGGAGGCUUGGGGAAGAGUUUUUUUUUUUUUUUGGGGGGGGAGGGGGGAUAAGGUGAUAUAAUAUUUAAUUUUAUUGGAAAAAGUUUAAUCAAUUAAGGUUUAUUUUAAGUAUGUAUUUAUUUAUAGUUGAGUUAUGACACGUGUCGCAUUUUGACUGGUACGUGGAUGCAGUCUCCAAACAAAAAACUGGUCCAUAAAAAAGUAGUGUCUUAUACACACUUUGAAAAAGUUAGGCGUGUAAAAAGUUAUCCGUACUCAGAAGGUGUGUCACAGGGAUUUGGUCCUAAGUUUCGGAGGAAACUAUGUAUUUUGCCAUUUUUUUCCUUUUCAUUUUGGAUUAGAGAACAUGAAUUUUGAUGGAAUAAUAUAAGAAUACGAAAAGAUUGAUAGUCACUAAUAACACAUGUAUUUACUUUUAAGCCACCGUUUAAAAUUUCUUUAGUCUUUAGUUAUUGCUUUAAUAAACUUUAAUUGUCGGACGAAAAUACUCUUCUGCUCAUGUCCUUAACUUUUGAACUUAAUUUCAGGACUUCAGCAUUACAUGUCCUUAACUUUUGAACUUGGAACUCUAAGUUCAGAACUUUUGGACUACAUGUCCUUAACUUCAGGACUACAUGUCCUUAACUUUUGAACUUGUAACUAUAAGUUCAGGACCAAGUGUCCUUAACUUUUGAGCUUGUUAGUCUAAGUUCAGGACGUAUUGUCCUUAACUUUUGGGUUUUUUAGCCUAAGUUCAUGACCUAUUGUCCUUAUCUUUUGAGCUUAUUAGUCUAAGUUCAGGACUUCAGGACCUAUUGUCCUUAACUUUUGAACUUGUAACUGUAAGUACAGGACCUAUUGUCCUUAACUUUUGGGCUUCUUAGCCUAAGUUCACGACCUAUUGUCCUUAACUUUUGAGCUUGUUAAUCUAAGUUCAGGACUUCAGGACCUAGUGUCCUUAACUUUUGAACUUGGAACUCGAAGUUCAGGACCAAGUGUCCUUAACUUUUGAACCUGUAACUAUAAGUUCGGGAUCCAUAACGUAGCAGAAAACCAAAAAUGCAUCACAGAAAUCACAAACCGAAACAUUGUGUCCAAUCCAUCACACCUUUAUGCAGAGUUCAAUUUUCAAUUAGCAGAUGAUCGUUCUUUUGGUGGAUUUUACGGUACUGCAACUGAUCAAGGCAUUGACAGUAUUGGGAUUUAUGUGAAGACCAUCACAUCCUCCACAAUAAGUAGAAUAACAUCCAACGAAACGACUGACGCGGCCAAAAGGAAAGAAAAUCAUUCAAUUCAACAUAUGUAUAUUUGAUGUUCAUGAUUUUUUCAUAUUAGAUCAUUUGUUGCUUUUGUUAAGUUCAUUACGUGAGAAUCAUGAACUGGUCUAGUUUAUUACCCAAUGAGUUGAAAGAGAUAGAAGAAAGGGUAAUAAAAUUUUUUCAUAUUAAUUUUAAUAAACUAGUAAUUACUAUUGCUAAGCAUUAAAAAUACUGGAUAAAAAAUAAAUAUCAGUUUAAAAAGUGGCUACCCACGUGAUUUUUACAAAGUCACGUUUGUUGUUUUGUUAAAAAGGGUCCUUACUUUUUUUAGGCAAAGAGAGAUGUAAGAUGUUUCUUUCCAAGCUCUAACUAGUUUUAAGAACUCGUUUGGUCAAAUUGUCAAAAAUUAUUUAUUUUGAGAAAUAAUUUUGUUCAAAAUUACUUUUUAAAAAAUUACUUUGGGAGAGUUACUAUUUAUAUUUAGCCAGUUCAUUUAAGAAGUGCUUUUUACAAUAUAUGAUAAAAUAAAUUAAUUUUUUAAUUUUAUUUAAUUAAAAUAUAAAAGAUAAAGUAUAAAAAUAUAACAACAACAACAACCCAGUAUAAUUUCACUAGUGGGGUCUGGGGAGGGUAGUGUGUACGCAGACCUUACCCCUACCCUGGGGUAGAGAGGCUGUUUCCAAAUAGACCAUCGGCAUCCUUCCCUCCAAGAACUCCCCACCUUGCUCUUAGGGUUACUCGAACUCACAACCUCUUGAUUGGAAGUGGAGGUUGCUUACCAUCAGAGCAACCCCGCUUGUCAACAAAAUAUACUAGAAUUUUAAUCAAUAUAAACUAUAUUAUUCAAAGCAAUAACACUAGAUAUCAGGUAUUACUUAUUGUUUACAUGAUGAUUUAAGUAUAUCAAUAUAUUUAUUCAGUAUAAAUUAAAAAUCUACUUCCUAACUUUCUAUAUAAAAGAUAUUAGAGAGAUUACUUCAAACAAGAAUAGGAGAAUGAGAAUAAAAAUACAAUAAAAAUAAAAUAAAUAAAAAAGAAGAAAGGGAUGCUAAAAAUAAAAAAGAAAUAGGAAAAAGUUAAAUAAUAAAGGAUAAUUUAAAAAAUAUAAUUUAUAUUAAAGAUACUUUAUCUAAAACAAAUAAUUUCCUGCUUAUGUUUAUGCUUCUACUUCUUGAAAGAAGCUAGAAUUUAUAGUUUCUUCUCAAAAGUAAAAAAAAUUGCUUCUGUUGCACAAAAUUGCUUUUCGAGUUCUCCAUCUCGACUAAAUAUAUCAAAUUUCCAAAAAAGUACUUUUGAUGGCUUUUGAUCAUAAAUAGCUAACUUAAUAAAGGAAGAAACUUUGUCUCAUAGAUUCCGCUAAUCAUUACUCUGUAUAUUCAACUAAAGUUAGUUUCAGUUCUAUAAUUUCAUCAUCUAAAUUUCGCAAUUAUCAUGCCUCCUUUUCAAUUUUAUCAAGAACAUAAAACCUUUACUGAUUUAAGAAAUUUUUUGAUUUUUUAAAAAAGAAAAGCUAUUUUCAAGUUCAUUCUUUCUUUUCCCCCAUCAUUUUCAAGUUCAUUCUAAAAGACACAAACAUGGUAUGUUAAUUAAUAUAAGAGAAGUUUUUCUUUCUCCUGAGCAAAAUACUGAGCAAAAUACAAGUUGUUCUAUUUUUUUAAUCAAUAAGAAAUACUAUAAAAAAAAUCGAUAAACCUAAAAAGAAUAAAUUGCUUUUGCAACAGUGGAAUCCAAUAACUACAUUUUGAAUCAUAAAUUUAAUUGAUUUUAAAAUUUUAAAUAUUAGAAAUAAUAAAAUGGCAACUUUUUAUUUAAUGUGAAAUCAACUAUAAUUUUAAUUAUUAAAUAUAUUUUUAGUUUAAACUACGUAGGAAGUCCUAAUAUUAAAACUUUAAAACCGAUUAAUAUCUCACCUUAUAUAAACUCUUCCGUAGAAAUACCUUUCAAAUCCUAACUCUAUGUAACACAAGUAUAUUAAAAUUUUGUCUUAAAUUUAGGAUUUAUUAAUCAAUUAAGAUUUUGUCCAUAGUAUUUCAUAUUGGAUAUACUUUAUUCUUUCCUUAUUGCAUUGGACUCCUUUUGACCGUAAAACUGAUGUUACGUAUAUUUAAAGCCAUUUGUUUGACGGCGAGGAUUUACCUAUAGAGAAUUUUGCCAAAAUAUUAAUGUAACGAUCCGACCGGUUGUUUUGAGAAUUAACAUCUCGUUCGGUGGUAGAAGAUCUCGAGCAUCUCCGUAUUAUGUGUUAUAACUUGCAUGCGUGGCUGAGUUCAGUUAUCGGAUGAUUCGGAGUCAAUUUGGAAGAAGGAUUUUUGUUUUAGAAGCUUGAGCGGUAAUAGUUGAUCAGAAUUUGAUUUUUGUGUAAACGACUCUAGAAUGAUAUUUUGAUGAUUCCAACAGCUUCGUAUGGUGAUUUUGGACUUAGGCGUAUGUACGGAUUUGGAUUUGGAGGCCCGUAAGGUAAUUUGAAGCAUUUCGGCAAAAUUUGGAAAAGUUGAAUUUUGGAAGGUUGAGAGGUUUGACCAAGAGUUGACUUUGGUGAUACCGGGGUCGAAACGCAAUCCUGAGAGUUGGAUUAGCUCUGUUAUGUCAUCUGAGACUUGCAUGUAAAAUUUGGCAUCAUUCUUGAUUGAUUUGAUAUGUUUCGGCUCGAGUUUUGGAAGUUGGAAAAUUUGAAAGUUCAUAAGUUCGAUUCAUGGUGCGAUUCGUAGUUUCGACAUUGUUUGAUGUGAAUUGAGACCUUGAGCGAGUCCUUGUUAGGUUAUGGAAUUUGUUGGUAUGGUUAGACGGAGUCCCGGGGGCCUCGAGUGUGUUUCGGAUGGGCUACGGGCCAUUUCUCCAUGUUGUUAGACUUCUGUUUUGUUGGUACCUGGUUUCCUUAAUCGCGUUCGCGUCAAUUCCUCCACGUUCCCGUAGUGUAAUUUUGGAGGAAGGAAUAUUUGUUUUUCGCAUUCGUACAUACCUGUCCGCGAUUGCAUAAGUGUUCAUUUCCCUUCUUCGCGUUCGCGUAGCUCAGCUGGUGAUUCCCUUUUCUCCCUUGCGAUCGCAUGUGGCUUCACGCGAUCGUGUAGUUCAGUCCUUGGGCCAUCAGAAUUUCCCUCUUCAUGAUUGCACAUGUCUUUUCGUGAUCGCGUAGCAUUAAUUCCGGUCAGUAGCCAUUACCUCUUCGCGAUCGCAAUUGAAAUUCUGUGAUCGCGAUGUACUAACACCUGGGUAGAAUAUAAAAGUACUAUAUUUCGAGGGCUAGCCAUUUUUAUCAUUUUUGGAGUUGUGGAGCUCGGUUUUGAACGAUUCUUCAUGGGUUUUUCAAGAAAAUCAUUGGGGUAAGUGUACCCUUUCUCCUCUAAAAAUCCACAAAACAAUAGCAAAACACGCAAUCCAACAACAACACAAAACAACCCACGAAAUAGUUCGCUACAAGUUGAAUAACUCGAACUCACGGCUUCCGAUCACCGUCCCAUGAGUUCUUACAAUUAUAGAACAAUUUUUCUUACAUUUUCAGCAAAAAAAAAACAUGAAAAAGAGCAGUAAACUUACCUUAUUUGUUGAAUAUCUCAGAUCCUAUCUUGGUUCUUUAAACCCUAGGUUUUUCCUCUAACUAGAACUUGAAAAGGAGAGAAAAUCAAUUAGGGUUUGUGUUCAAUUUUUUGGAGGAUUUUUGUAGGGACUUAUGUCUGGUUAUUUUGCUAUAUAAUGAGUUUUAUAUUUGCAGGAGAUAAGCCCUUAAAUGGGCUCUUUGGCUGACGCGAAAUAGCCCCUUUUGGACAUAUUUAAUCCUCCCAUUUAAGCAGGUAGGUGACGCACCUACUUGUCACCUAGCAGUCUGUGCAGUCUUGCAAAAAUGCAUAUAUCUCACUACUCUCAUAUCGUAUUGAUAAACGGUUUAAUGCAUUCGAAAUCAGACUCAUAAAUCUUCAAUUUUAUGGGUGGAACACUCCAUAACUCUAUGUAUAUUGGAAGAAAAUCGUAGUGACAUUUGGCCCCAAUUUCAGUAAAACUUAUGAAUGUAACUUGUGAUGACUUUCAUCGACUUUUGUUUCACAACUCGCUUGACCUCAAAACAUAACAAAUGAAUAUCAUAAGACUAAAAUGAAUUAUAACAUAAACCUCUUAUCAUGUUAAGAACCCUAGUCUCACCCCAAAGGUAUUGGUUAUAACAUUUCCAAUUUGUCGACUUUCGAGAAAUAUUAUUUUCUUCAAUUCAUUAGCUUCUUAACCUUCCAACCCUCUUUUUACUUGUUGUUCAUGAUCUUCAAUAUUUGUAACCUUCGAGGUAACAUGAUAACUUACUUUAUAUACUUCCAAAGAUGAUUUCAUUUUUGGUCUUACAUUAGUGUGCUUACGAGACACUUUUACGUACAAAAAUAUGAGGUGUAACAUGAGCAGAUUGUUUUGGUGUUGGCGCCAGGUAUUUUUCGUGUGGAUAUUGUGGUGUGAUGAAGUUGUAGCACCAUGUCUUCAUCGUGCGGUUAUGAUGAUAUCAUUGUUGUUGUGGCACGAGGCCUUUGUCGUGCUGUUGUAAUGAUGAUGUUGUGGAAGGAGGUCUUUGUCGUGCGAAUAUUAUGGUGUGAUGAUGUUGUAGCGUGAGGUCUUUUAUGUGUGCUUAUUGUCAUGACUGGAAGUUUUUUUCGUAUAGUGUGUGGAUAUGGAUCCAUCCCCUUAAGGUUGCUCUCUCAUGUUUCUCUCUUGAUGGCGUACACGCAGAUUGUGGUACUUUGACUAAUGUUGUUGAUUCUGAUGUGGACACGGAUGUUGGGAGUUGAGUGUAAGGGUGCAAGUUUGGCCAUGCAAGUGAAUCAUUUAUGCCUUUCAGUACAUUUAAUAUGCUUUUAUGUUGAAAAUUUAACAUGUUAUUCUAUGCCUCUGUUUUGAUUGUCACGAUUGAUUUACCUGUGUUGAGUUGAGUUGAUGACAUUACAUCUUGUUAUAUUCUUGUUGCCAUUUAUUUAGAUAUAUAAAGCAUAGGUGCUUUGCUUAGUGAGUAUCGCAUGACUUGAACCUCGCCACUACUUCACCGAGGUUAGUCUUGAUACUUAUUGAGUACAUGUUGUUCGUACUCAUACUAUGCUUCUACAUAUUUCUGUGCAGAUUUGAGUGUUGGUAGUAGUGGACCUAGGGAGUGAGAUGUUGAUCGAGAGGAUUUAAGGUAGUGUUGCAUGGACGUCGCAGACCCUUGGAGUCCCCUUCCCUUAUCCUAUGCAAUUACUUUUCAUUCAAACAAUAUUGUACUAUAGAAAUAUACUCUGCAUUCGGUGUUAGAGCUCAUGAAUCUGUAUUACCUA
This 12101-nucleotide long non-coding RNA is filed under the name Nicotiana tabacum (common tobacco). RNAcentral describes it as "long non-coding RNA (NTAB_LNC011164)". The record is from RNAcentral. Lineage: Eukaryota; Viridiplantae; Streptophyta; Magnoliopsida; Solanales; Solanaceae.